RNAcentral lists this ribosomal RNA (485 nucleotides) under uncultured Glomus. RNAcentral describes it as "SSU rRNA". It matches the Rfam family "Eukaryotic small subunit ribosomal RNA", at positions 569 to 1059 of the family's 1831-position model. The record is from RNAcentral. Lineage: Eukaryota; Fungi; Glomeromycota; Glomeromycetes; Glomerales; Glomeraceae.
AGCAGCCGCGGUAAUUCCAGCUCCAAUAGCGUAUAUUAAAGUUGUUGCAGUUAAAAAGCUCGUAGUUGAAUUUCGGGAUCAAUUUGCUGGUCGUGCCUCUGGUACGUACUGGUAUUAUUGGUUUCUCCCUUCUGACGAACCAUGAUGUCAUUAAUUUGAUGUCGUGGAGAAUCAGGACUGUUACUUUGAAAAAUUAGAGUGUUUAAAGCAGGCAUUAGCUUGAAUACAUUAGCAUGGAAUAAUGAAAUAGGACGUUUGAUCCUAUUUUGUUGGUUUCUAGGAUUGACGUAAUGAUUAAUAGGGAUAGUUGGGGGCAUUAGUAUUCAAUUGUCAGAGGUGAAAUUCUUGGAUUUAUUGAAGACUAACUACUGCGAAAGCAUUUGCCAAGGAUGUUUUCAUUAAUCAAGAACGAAAGUUAGGGGAUCGAAGACGAUCAGAUACCGUCGUAGUCUUAGCCAUAAACUAUGCCGACUAGGGAUCGGAUG